RNAcentral lists this ribosomal RNA (377 nucleotides) under uncultured bacterium. RNAcentral's name for it is "bacterial SSU rRNA". It matches the Rfam family "Bacterial small subunit ribosomal RNA", at positions 521 to 896 of the family's 1533-position model. The record is from RNAcentral.
UAAUACGAAGGGUGCAAGCGUUACUCGGAAUUACUGGGCGUAAAGCGUGCGUAGGUGGUGGUUUAAGUCCGUUGUGAAAGCCCUGGGCUCAACCUGGGAAUUGCAGUGGAUACUGGGUCACUAGAAUGUGGUAGAGGGUAGCGGAAUUCCUGGUGUAGCAGUGAAAUGCGUAGAGAUCAGGAGGAACAUCCGUGGCGAAGGCGGCUACCUGGACCAACAUUGACACUGAGGCACGAAAGCGUGGGGAGCAAACAGGAUUAGAUACCCUGGUAGUCCACGCCCUAAACGAUGCGAACUGGAUGUUGGGUGCAAUUUGGCACGCAGUAUCGAAGCUAACGCGUUAAGUUCGCCGCCUGGGGAGUACGGUCGCAAGACUG